ACAUACGACCAUACCCACUGGAGAACUCGGGAUCCCGUCCGCUCUCCCAUAGAUAAGCCAGUGAGGGACGGAUUAGUAGUUGGGUCGGUGACGACCAGCGAACACCUGGUGUUGUAUGUC
Molecule: non-coding RNA, 120 nt
Organism: Colletotrichum orbiculare MAFF 240422
Lineage: Eukaryota; Fungi; Ascomycota; Sordariomycetes; Glomerellales; Glomerellaceae
Source: Rfam